Long non-coding RNA from Ipomoea nil (Japanese morning glory), 315 nucleotides. RefSeq lists it as uncharacterized. The transcript is spliced from 3 exons. The record is from RefSeq and is a predicted model, not a curated record. NCBI's taxonomy places the organism in Eukaryota, Viridiplantae, Streptophyta, Magnoliopsida, Solanales, Convolvulaceae.
CGAUGAUAGGGAGCAAAGCCGACGACCGUCUCCCACCCGCCCAGCGGCGCAACUACAAGAGCGUCGUGGACGCCAUAACCCAAAUGACCAAGAACGAGAGCGUCACCGUACCAGCCUAUGGCGCGACUCCUCUAUCACCGUCAAUCGGGCCAUGCUAGUCAUGGCCAACCAUUUGACAUCUUACGACCAGUUCAAGGAAACGAUCCUGGAAAAAGGAAUCAUGAAGGACGGGCUCGGGACCCAAGUGACGGUGAGCUUCACUGCCGGGUUCGUGGCGGCGGUGGCAUCGAAUCUGGUGGACGUGCUGAAGACGAG